This 199-nucleotide long non-coding RNA is filed under the name Nicotiana benthamiana. Its description in RNAcentral is "long non-coding RNA (NBEN_LNC009804)". Lineage: Eukaryota; Viridiplantae; Streptophyta; Magnoliopsida; Solanales; Solanaceae. The record is from RNAcentral.
AAUAUAGAACGGAACCAUCUUGAUAGGGAUAGUUUGGACGAGGAGGGGCAGCCGAGGUGGAUGCGCCAUGCCUAGCAGAACGGGAACGUUUUGAGUGACGGCUCGACAUUUUUAAUGAAAGCUGCUGGAUUUUGCAAAGGAUUAGAGGGAAUUUGAUAUUUUGAAAGCUAAAAUUGAUGCUUGAGUGAAUGAAUANNNN